Long non-coding RNA from Homo sapiens (human), 557 nucleotides. The record is from Ensembl. NCBI's taxonomy places the organism in Eukaryota, Metazoa, Chordata, Mammalia, Primates, Hominidae.
ACAUUCUCCUAAGAUGGGAGCAAGAAUUGUAGACCACCCUCAGAAGACUUGCUCCAAGAUGCCUCGGAUGACCCAGAUGCUGCUGUCACAGUCCGUCUGCUUUUGGUUGGUUAUCUGGGAAACUCCCAACACAGCAAAUUGAGGACAAAUACAAAAUUCUUUCAGAAAGUUGUCUGGAAGGCAAGAGGACUGUCCCACCCCAUGGGGUUGGCACUGUAAUUUGGCAUCUGCACUUCAAGCUUAGCUAAGUCACGGUGCCUUUGAAAGGUGCCUAAUGAAGUGGCCAGAAGUGGAACAAAAAGAGUUCAGCACUCCUGUGCCUUGGAUGUAGUUGUGAAUACUGCUCUACAGGAGAACUGUUAAAAAUAUUUUCAAAGUGAUAGUAACUCCUUACUUCUAAGCACAUACCCGCAGCCUACAAUAAAUAAACUGUGUGACUGUAAUAACUCUGGUACUGCUGUUUAUGGCAUACAAAAUACAUUCACAUAUAUUACCUGAUCUGAUCCUCAUAAUGAAUAUGUGAGGAGCAGAUGUUUGACCCCUAUUUUACAAAGAGG